GACGAACGCUGGCGGCGUGCCUAAUACAUGCAAGUAGAACGCACAGUUUAUACCGUAGCUUGCUACACCAUAGACUGUGAGUUGCGAACGGGUGAGUAACGCGUAGGUAACCUGCCUGGUAGCGGGGGAUAACUAUUGGAAACGAUAGCUAGUACCGCAUAAUAUUAAUUAUUGCAUGAUAAUUAAUUGAAAGGUGCAAUUGCACCACUACCAGAUGGACCUGCGUUGUAUUAGCUAGUAGGUGAGGUAACGGCUCACCUAGGCGACGAUACAUAGCCGACCUGAGAGGGUGAACGGCCAAACUGGGACUGAGACACGGCCCAGACUCCUACGGGAGGCAGCAGUAGGGAAUCUUCGGCAAUGGACGAAAGUCUGACCGAGCAACGCCGCGUGAGUGAAGAAGGUUUUCGGAUCGUAAAGCUCUGUUGUAAGAGAAGAACGGGUGUGAGAGUGGAAAGUUCACACUGUGACGGUAUCUUACCAGAAAGGGACGGCUAACUACGUG
RNAcentral lists this ribosomal RNA (505 nucleotides) under uncultured bacterium. RNAcentral's name for it is "partial 16S ribosomal RNA". It matches the Rfam family "Bacterial small subunit ribosomal RNA", at positions 28 to 507 of the family's 1533-position model. The record is from RNAcentral.